CUUCGGUAAAGAGCGGCGGACGGGUGAAAGGGUAACCUACCCUGUACACACGGAUAACAUACCGAAAGGUAUGCUAAUACGGGAUAAUAUAUUUGGGAGGCAUCUCUUAAAUAUCAAAGGUGAGCCAGUACAGGAUGGACCCGCGUCUGAUUAGCUAGUUGGUAAGGUAACGGCUUACCAAGGCGACGAUCAGUAGCCGACCUG
Molecule: ribosomal RNA, 204 nt
Filed under: Clostridioides difficile
Lineage: Bacteria; Bacillati; Bacillota; Clostridia; Peptostreptococcales; Peptostreptococcaceae
Description: partial 16S ribosomal RNA
Rfam family: Bacterial small subunit ribosomal RNA
Source: RNAcentral